GAUGAACGCUGGCGGCGUGCCUAAUACAUGCAAGUCGAGCGAACGGACGAGAAGCUUGCUUUUCUGAUGUUAGCGGCGGACGGGUGAGUAACAUGUGGAUAACCUACCUAUAAGACUGGGAUAACUUCGGGAAACCGGAGCUAAUACCGGAUAAUAUUUUGAACCGCAUGGUUCAAAAGUGAAAGACGGUCUUGCUGUCACUUAUAGAUGGAUCCGCGCUGCAUUAGCUAGUUGGUAAGGUAACGGCUUACCAAGGCAACGAUGCAUAGCCGACCUGAGAGGGUGAUCGGCCACACUGGAACUGAGACACGGUCCAGACUCCUACGGGAGGCAACAGUAGGGAAUCUUCCGCAAUGGGCGAAAGCCUGACGGAGCAACGCCGCGUGAGUGAUGAGGGUCUUCGGAUCGUAAAACUCUGUUAUUAGGGAAGAACAUAUGUGUAAGUAACUGUGCACAUCUUGACGGUACCUAAUCAGAAAGCCACGGCUAACUACGUG
This 497-nucleotide ribosomal RNA is filed under the name uncultured bacterium. RNAcentral's name for it is "partial 16S ribosomal RNA". It matches the Rfam family "Bacterial small subunit ribosomal RNA", at positions 28 to 507 of the family's 1533-position model. The record is from RNAcentral.